Leopardus geoffroyi (Geoffroy's cat) is the source of this 123-nucleotide long non-coding RNA. RefSeq lists it as uncharacterized. The record is from RefSeq and is a predicted model, not a curated record. NCBI's taxonomy places the organism in Eukaryota, Metazoa, Chordata, Mammalia, Carnivora, Felidae. The transcript has 3 exons.
ACUCUUUCUCUACACGACUGACUUCUGAUGUUCUGGAUGAGGGUGGGGGUCCUCAGUGGCUAGCGUUGGGCUGUUUCCAGAAAAGAGGCCUUUCAGUUUGGAUUAAAUCAGCUCCCACUCUCU